This 258-nucleotide ribosomal RNA is filed under the name uncultured bacterium. Its description in RNAcentral is "partial 16S ribosomal RNA". It matches the Rfam family "Bacterial small subunit ribosomal RNA", at positions 96 to 354 of the family's 1533-position model. The record is from RNAcentral.
UGGCGGACGGGUGAGUAACGCGUGAGCAACCUGCCCUUCGGAGGGGGAUAGUGUCUGGAAACGGACAGUAAUACCGCAUAACGUAUUUUUACCGCAUGAUAGAAAUACCAAAACUGAGGUGCCGAAGGAUGGGCUCGCGUUGGAUUAGAUAGUUGGUGGGGUAACGGCCUACCAAGUCGACGAUCCAUAGCCGGACUGAGAGGUUGAACGGCCACAUUGGGACUGAGACACGGCCCAAACUCCUACGGGAGGCAGCAG